RNAcentral lists this ribosomal RNA (447 nucleotides) under uncultured bacterium. Its description in RNAcentral is "bacterial SSU rRNA". It matches the Rfam family "Bacterial small subunit ribosomal RNA", at positions 355 to 825 of the family's 1533-position model. The record is from RNAcentral.
UCGGGAAUUUUGGGCAAUGGGCGAAAGCCUGACCCAGCAACGCCGCGUGAAGGAUGAAGUAUUUCGGUAUGUAAACUUCGAAAGAAUAGGAAGAAUAAAUGACGGUACUAUUUAUAAGGUCCGGCUAACUACGUGCCAGCAGCCGCGGUAAUACGUGGGGACCAAGCGUUGUUCGGAUUUACUGGGCGUAAAGGGCGCGUAGGCGGCAAUUCAAGUCAUCUGUGAAAUCUCCGGGCUUAACUCGGAACGGUCAGAUGAUACUGCUUUGCUAGAGUGCAGAAGGGGCAAUCGGAAUUCUUGGUGUAGCGGUGAAAUGCGUAGAUAUCAAGAGGAACACCUGAGGUGAAGACGGGUUGCUGGGCUGACACUGACGCUGAGGCGCGAAAGCCAGGGGAGCAAACGGGAUUAGAUACCCCAGUAGUCCCUGAGCGGGCUGGCAAGGCGCAU